Molecule: long non-coding RNA, 210 nt
Filed under: Olea europaea (common olive)
Lineage: Eukaryota; Viridiplantae; Streptophyta; Magnoliopsida; Lamiales; Oleaceae
Description: long non-coding RNA (OEUR_LNC013315)
Source: RNAcentral
UCAAUACAUCUCGAGAGAGAGUAUUGAAUAGAUUUAGGAGCAUUGAUUUGUCAAAUUCUUAUUGAAUUAUCAAAAUUGUGAAAUUAGGGUUUAAUUAGUAAUUAUGUGGGGAUUCGUGAUCCUAGUGCAUUUGUUUUACAUAGAUUUUCAUAAAUUGACAAUACAUUUCAUUUAUUUUUAUAACAUUUCGUAAUUGAGUCAUUCGUUAAG